CCAAUUAGUAUGUAAGAACAAAGAAAUUUUAGUCCACUCUCCACCAAAAUUAGAAACCCAUAAAAAUAGAAAAGCUAGUUCAAAAGCAAAACUUUCAACACUUAAAUUGUGUAUGAACCCACCACCAAUAAUCAGUCGAAAACAAACUUGAAUGAGCACAGAAGCCAAAACCGCUUUUAUCGUUUCGCAAAAAAAAUAUAUAUAUCCGUUAAAAGCCCAAAACCUUUCUAUAAUCUCCACUACAGAAAUCGCACAAAUCGAUAUGAAAAGCACCAAUUUUGAAAGUAAUCUUCAAUAAAACAUCAAAUGAUUUUUAAAAUGAACCGCAGCAUUGUGAACAAAAUGGGGAAUUCCCGUGAUCUCUGAGGAUCAAACGGUCAUAUAUAGUUCCCCCACACAUCGCCGACCACAAAAAAAGCGAACCCAAAACGUUUCGCCGGAGAAUCAAGACUCUAGAAAUAACGAAACGUUUCGCCGAUUAAAAACACAUACCAGAAGGGAAUUCUGAAUUCUCCCCACCAGCGAGAAAAACUGGCGGUGAUUUUUGCCAAGAAAAUUAAAAAAUAUACAUAUAUAUAGUCUCAAAAAAUCACUGCCAUAACCAUCCCUCUCGAGUCACCAUAUCCCCCUAACCCCUUCUCUCUCUCUCUCUCUCUCUC
This 659-nucleotide unclassified non-coding RNA is filed under the name Hevea brasiliensis (rubber tree). Lineage: Eukaryota; Viridiplantae; Streptophyta; Magnoliopsida; Malpighiales; Euphorbiaceae. The record is from RNAcentral.